AUACGUAGGGUGCGAGCGUUGUCCGGAAUGAUUGGGCGUAAAGGGCGCGUAGGCGGCCUGUUAAGUCUGGAGUGAAAGUCCUGUUUUCAAGAUGGGAAUUGCUUUGGAUACUGAUGGGCUUGAGUGCAGGAGAGGUUAUCGGAAUUCCCGGUGUAGCGGUGAAAUGCGUAGAGAUCGGGAGGAACACCAGUGGCGAAGGCGGGUAACUGGACUGCAACUGACGCUGAGGCGCGAAAGUGUGGGGAGCAAACAGGAUUAGAUACCCUGGUAGUCCACACUGUAAACGAUGAAUGCUAGGUGUAAGAGGUAUCGACCCCUUUUGUGCCGGAGUUAACACAAUAAGCAUUCCGCCUGGGGAGUACGGCCGCAAGGUUGAAACUCAAAUGAAUUGACGGGG
This 397-nucleotide ribosomal RNA is filed under the name uncultured bacterium. RNAcentral's name for it is "partial 16S ribosomal RNA". It matches the Rfam family "Bacterial small subunit ribosomal RNA", at positions 523 to 918 of the family's 1533-position model. The record is from RNAcentral.